Non-coding RNA from Vicia faba (fava bean), 264 nucleotides. NCBI's taxonomy places the organism in Eukaryota, Viridiplantae, Streptophyta, Magnoliopsida, Fabales, Fabaceae. The record is from the annotation of a GenBank genome assembly.
AUGUUCUUUAAAUCGCCCCUUCACCAGAAUUACUCUACUCUUCAUCACCCUCUUUCAUCUUCAAUUAGCUUGAUAUCACAACCUCGAUGCUUCAAUCAUUAUCAACUCUGCAUCGCGUUUCUCACUGCAAAAACAAACGUAAAGUAUCAAUUCCCCACAUCAGUCCAGAUUCAAACAUCAUCACCGAGUUUUUCAACAUUACAACUUUGUUCGAAAUUGCAAGAACAGAAGAAGAAUGGAAUGGAGGAUUUACCUGAUUUGUAA